This 289-nucleotide ribosomal RNA is filed under the name Bacillus subtilis. RNAcentral describes it as "partial 16S ribosomal RNA". It matches the Rfam family "Bacterial small subunit ribosomal RNA", at positions 655 to 941 of the family's 1533-position model. Lineage: Bacteria; Bacillati; Bacillota; Bacilli; Caryophanales; Bacillaceae. The record is from RNAcentral.
AGGAGAGUGUUCUUCCACGUGUAGCGGUGAAAUGCGUAGAGAUGUGGAGGAACACCAGUGGCGAAGGCCUCUCUCUGGUCUGUAACUGACGCUGAGGAGCGAAAGCGUGGGGAGCAAACAGGAUUAUAUACCCUGGUACUCCACGCCGUAAACGAUGAUUGCUAAUUGUUAGGGGCCCUCCCCCCCUUACUGCUGCAGCUAACUGCAUUCACCACUCCGCCUGGAGAGUACGGUCGCAAGACUGAAACUCAUAGGAAUUGACGGGCGCCCGCACAAGCGGUGGAGCAUG